UAACAAGGUUUCCGUAGGUGAACCUGCGGAAGGAUCAUUACACUCAGUAGUUUACUACUGUUGAAGAGGCUGUUAGUCUGUAUAGCUUUACCGCUGAUGAGCAGCUGGCCUCUUUUCUCCACCCUUGUCUUUUGCGCACCCAUGUUUCCUCGGCAGGCUUGCCUGCCGGCUGGACAAUACAAUAACCUUUUUCAUUUUCAAUCAGCGUCUGAAAAAAACUUAAUAAUUACAACUUUCAACAACGGAUCUCUUGGUUCUGGCAUCGAUGAAGAACGCAGCGAAAUGCGAUAAGUAGUGUGAAUUGCAGAAUUCAGUGAAUCAUCGAAUCUUUGAACGCACAUUGCGCCCCUUGGUAUUCCAUGGGGCAUGCCUGUUCGAGCGUCAUUUGUACCUUCAAGCUUUGCUUGGUGUUGGGUGUUUGUCCUCCCCGUUUGUGUUUGGACUCGCCUUUAAACAAUUGGCAGCCAGUGUUUUGGUAUAGAAGCGCAGCACAAGUCGCGAUUCUAGCCAAUCAACGCUGACAACCAGAAGUCUUUUUUCAACUUUUGACCUCGGAUCAGGUAGGGAUACCCGCUGAACUUAAGCAUAU
Molecule: ribosomal RNA, 589 nt
Filed under: Sclerostagonospora sp. RH50
Lineage: Eukaryota; Fungi; Ascomycota; Dothideomycetes; Pleosporales; Phaeosphaeriaceae
Description: eukaryotic LSU rRNA
Rfam family: 5.8S ribosomal RNA (bases 231-384)
Source: RNAcentral